RNAcentral lists this ribosomal RNA (250 nucleotides) under uncultured bacterium. Its description in RNAcentral is "partial 16S ribosomal RNA". It matches the Rfam family "Bacterial small subunit ribosomal RNA", at positions 779 to 1028 of the family's 1533-position model. The record is from RNAcentral.
UAGAUACCCUGGUAGUCCACGCCCUAAACGAUGUCGAUUAGCUGUUGGGCAGCUUGACUGCUUAGUAGCGUAGCUAACGUGAUAAAUCGACCGCCUGGGGAGUACGGUCGCAAGAUUAAAACUCAAAGGAAUUGACGGGGACCCGCACAAGCGGUGGAUGAUGUGGAUUAAUUCGAUGCAACGCGAAGAACCUUACCUGGUCUUGACAUGUACGGAAUCCUCCAGAGACGGAGGAGUGCCUUCGGGAACC